GACGAACGCUGGCGGCGUGCUUAACACAUGCAAGUCGAACGGAAAGGCCCUGCUUUUGUGGGGUUCUCGAGUGGCGAACGGGUGAGUAACACGUGAGUAACCUGCCCUUGACUUUGGGAUAACUUUAGGAAACUCGGGCUAAUACCGGGUAGGAGCUCCUGCUGCAUGGUGGUGGUUGGAAAGUUUCGGCUGUUGGGGAUGGACUCGCGGCUUAUCAGCUUGUUGGUGGGGUAGUGGCUUACCAAGGCUUUGACGGGUAGCCGGCCUGGGAGGGUGACCGGCGACAUUGGGACUGAGAUACGCACCAGAAUCCUACGGGAGGCAGCAGUGGGGAAUCUGGCACAAUGGGCGGACGUCUGAUGCAGCAACGCCGCGUGCGGGAUGCCGGCUUUCGGGUUGUAAACCGAUUUCGACUGUGACGAAGCGUGAGUGACGGUAAUGGGUAAAGAAGCACCGGCUAACUACGUG
This 468-nucleotide ribosomal RNA is filed under the name uncultured bacterium. RNAcentral describes it as "partial 16S ribosomal RNA". It matches the Rfam family "Bacterial small subunit ribosomal RNA", at positions 28 to 507 of the family's 1533-position model. The record is from RNAcentral.